ACUCAAAUGAAUAGACGGGGGCCCGCACAAGCGGUGGAGUAUGUGGCUUAAUUCGAUGCAACGCGAAGAACCUUACCUGGGCUUGACAUGCAUCGCUAAGGCGGUCAAAGCCGCCGAGAGUAGCAAUACUCACUUUGCACAGGUGCUGCAUGGCUGUCGUCAGCUCGUGUCGUGAGAUGUUGGGUUAAGUCCCGCAACGAGCGCAACCCUCAUACGCUGUUACCGGUGUAAAAACCGGCCCUCUGCGUAGACUGCCCCGUGAAACGGGGAGGAAGGCGAGGAUGACGUCAAGUCAGCAUGGCCCUUACGCCCAGGGCUGCACACGUACUACAAUGCCCAGCACAAAGCGAGCCGGCACUGCGAAGUGUCGGAAAUCGGGAAAGCUGGGUUCAGUUCGGAUUGCAGGCUGCAACUCGCCUGCAUGAAGCUGGAAUCGCUAGUAAUGCCGUAUCAGCUACGACGGCGUGAAUACGUUCCCGGGCCUUGUACACACCGCCCGU
Molecule: ribosomal RNA, 500 nt
Filed under: uncultured bacterium
Lineage: Bacteria
Description: partial 16S ribosomal RNA
Rfam family: Bacterial small subunit ribosomal RNA
Source: RNAcentral